This 100-nucleotide small nucleolar RNA is filed under the name Helianthus annuus (common sunflower). RNAcentral's name for it is "Small nucleolar RNA SNORD96 family". It matches the Rfam family "Small nucleolar RNA SNORD96 family". From Rfam's summary of the family: snoRNA Z37 is a member of the C/D class of snoRNA which contain the C (UGAUGA) and D (CUGA) box motifs. Z37 acts as a methylation guide for 5.8S ribosomal RNA. Lineage: Eukaryota; Viridiplantae; Streptophyta; Magnoliopsida; Asterales; Asteraceae. The record is from RNAcentral.
UGGCCUGUGAUGAAAUUUGUAUUAAAGAACACCAUCUUUCGGGACUGAUAUACCCUUUUUUUUAAAAGGUUUUGAUGUUAAUUCUGCAAUUCUGAGGCCC